RNAcentral lists this ribosomal RNA (2933 nucleotides) under Escherichia coli. RNAcentral describes it as "23S ribosomal RNA". It matches the Rfam family "Bacterial large subunit ribosomal RNA". Lineage: Bacteria; Pseudomonadati; Pseudomonadota; Gammaproteobacteria; Enterobacterales; Enterobacteriaceae. The record is from RNAcentral.
GGGUUGUGAGGUUAAGCGACUAAGCGUACACGGUGGAUGCCCUGGCAGUCAGAGGCGAUGAAGGACGUGCUAAUCUGCGAUAAGCGUCGGUAAGGUGAUAUGAACCGUUAUAACCGGCGAUUUCCGAAUGGGGAAACCCAGUGUGAUUCGUCACACUAUCAUUAACUGAAUCCAUAGGUUAAUGAGGCGAACCGGGGGAACUGAAACAUCUAAGUACCCCGAGGAAAAGAAAUCAACCGAGAUUCCCCCAGUAGCGGCGAGCGAACGGGGAGCAGCCCAGAGCCUGAAUCAGUGUGUGUGUUAGUGGAAGCGUCUGGAAAGGCGCGCGAUACAGGGUGACAGCCCCGUACACAAAAAUGCACAUGCUGUGAGCUCGAUGAGUAGGGCGGGACACGUGGUAUCCUGUCUGAAUAUGGGGGGACCAUCCUCCAAGGCUAAAUACUCCUGACUGACCGAUAGUGAACCAGUACCGUGAGGGAAAGGCGAAAAGAACCCCGGCGAGGGGAGUGAAAAAGAACCUGAAACCGUGUACGUACAAGCAGUGGGAGCACAGAGCAAUCUGUGUGACUGCGUACCUUUUGUAUAAUGGGUCAGCGACUUAUAUUCUGUAGCAAGGUUAACCGAAUAGGGGAGCCGAAGGGAAACCGAGUCUUAACUGGGCGUUAAGUUGCAGGGUAUAGACCCGAAACCCGGUGAUCUAGCCAUGGGCAGGUUGAAGGUUGGGUAACACUAACUGGAGGACCGAACCGACUAAUGUUGAAAAAUUAGCGGAUGACUUGUGGCUGGGGGUGAAAGGCCAAUCAAACCGGGAGAUAGCUGGUUCUCCCCGAAAGCUAUUUAGGUAGCGCCUCGUGAAUUCAUCUCCGGGGGUAGAGCACUGUUUCGGCAAGGGGGUCAUCCCGACUUACCAACCCGAUGCAAACUGCGAAUACCGGAGAAUGUUAUCACGGGAGACACACGGCGGGUGCUAACGUCCGUCGUGAAGAGGGAAACAACCCAGACCGCCAGCUAAGGUCCCAAAGUCAUGGUUAAGUGGGAAACGAUGUGGGAAGGCCCAGACAGCCAGGAUGUUGGCUUAGAAGCAGCCAUCAUUUAAAGAAAGCGUAAUAGCUCACUGGUCGAGUCGGCCUGCGCGGAAGAUGUAACGGGGCUAAACCAUGCACCGAAGCUGCGGCAGCGACGCUUAUGCGUUGUUGGGUAGGGGAGCGUUCUGUAAGCCUGUGAAGGUGUACUGUGAGGUAUGCUGGAGGUAUCAGAAGUGCGAAUGCUGACAUAAGUAACGAUAAAGCGGGUGAAAAGCCCGCUCGCCGGAAGACCAAGGGUUCCUGUCCAACGUUAAUCGGGGCAGGGUGAGUCGACCCCUAAGGCGAGGCCGAAAGGCGUAGUCGAUGGGAAACAGGUUAAUAUUCCUGUACUUGGUGUUACUGCGAAGGGGGGACGGAGAAGGCUAUGUUGGCCGGGCGACGGUUGUCCCGGUUUAAGCGUGUAGGCUGGUUUUCCAGGCAAAUCCGGAAAAUCAAGGCUGAGGCGUGAUGACGAGGCACUACGGUGCUGAAGCAACAAAUGCCCUGCUUCCAGGAAAAGCCUCUAAGCAUCAGGUAACAUCAAAUCGUACCCCAAACCGACACAGGUGGUCAGGUAGAGAAUACCAAGGCGCUUGAGAGAACUCGGGUGAAGGAACUAGGCAAAAUGGUGCCGUAACUUCGGGAGAAGGCACGCUGAUAUGUAGGUGAAGUCCCUCGCGGAUGGAGCUGAAAUCAGUCGAAGAUACCAGCUGGCUGCAACUGUUUAUUAAAAACACAGCACUGUGCAAACACGAAAGUGGACGUAUACGGUGUGACGCCUGCCCGGUGCCGGAAGGUUAAUUGAUGGGGUUAGCGCAAGCGAAGCUCUUGAUCGAAGCCCCGGUAAACGGCGGCCGUAACUAUAACGGUCCUAAGGUAGCGAAAUUCCUUGUCGGGUAAGUUCCGACCUGCACGAAUGGCGUAAUGAUGGCCAGGCUGUCUCCACCCGAGACUCAGUGAAAUUGAACUCGCUGUGAAGAUGCAGUGUACCCGCGGCAAGACGGAAAGACCCCGUGAACCUUUACUAUAGCUUGACACUGAACAUUGAGCCUUGAUGUGUAGGAUAGGUGGGAGGCUUUGAAGUGUGGACGCCAGUCUGCAUGGAGCCGACCUUGAAAUACCACCCUUUAAUGUUUGAUGUUCUAACGUUGACCCGUAAUCCGGGUUGCGGACAGUGUCUGGUGGGUAGUUUGACUGGGGCGGUCUCCUCCUAAAGAGUAACGGAGGAGCACGAAGGUUGGCUAAUCCUGGUCGGACAUCAGGAGGUUAGUGCAAUGGCAUAAGCCAGCUUGACUGCGAGCGUGACGGCGCGAGCAGGUGCGAAAGCAGGUCAUAGUGAUCCGGUGGUUCUGAAUGGAAGGGCCAUCGCUCAACGGAUAAAAGGUACUCCGGGGAUAACAGGCUGAUACCGCCCAAGAGUUCAUAUCGACGGCGGUGUUUGGCACCUCGAUGUCGGCUCAUCACAUCCUGGGGCUGAAGUAGGUCCCAAGGGUAUGGCUGUUCGCCAUUUAAAGUGGUACGCGAGCUGGGUUUAGAACGUCGUGAGACAGUUCGGUCCCUAUCUGCCGUGGGCGCUGGAGAAUUGAGGGGGGCUGCUCCUAGUACGAGAGGACCGGAGUGGACGCAUCACUGGUGUUCGGGUUGUCAUGCCAAUGGCACUGCCCGGUAGCUAAAUGCGGAAGAGAUAAGUGCUGAAAGCAUCUAAGCACGAAACUUGCCCCGAGAUGAGUUCUCCCUGACUCCUUGAGAGUCCUGAAGGAACGUUGAAGACGACGACGUUGAUAGGCCGGGUGUGUAAGCGCAGCGAUGCGUUGAGCUAACCGGUACUAAUGAACCGUGAGGCUUAACCUUACAACGCCGAAGGUGUUU